UAUUUAGUGGGUCAUGAUUUUUUUCUAUACAUUUUUUUAGUAUGGACUGAAUUCAUUUGGCAACAAUACUUAGGCAUGGAUGACUGAUGGACCACUUCAAGUCCAAGGGACCUGAGAAGGUUGAUCAGAGAAGGUUGAUCAGAGAAAUGUUCUCAUUGACCUGAAUCUGAUUCUCCUCUUCACUGCUAAAAGCUAGAUCAUUUUCACUAUGAAGAAUAAAAGUAAUCUGCUUUUAGACUGUGAAAGAUUGUCUCAAGUCAGCUUGAAGGAAGAAGACAGAAACCACCAUCUUUCUAUCUUAAGAGAUUUUCACAACUGGAGACUCAUAAUCAGCACUUCAGUAUAUGGAUGCAAAGGUUAACCUACAAAGGUAUCCACACUGCUAAGAGCAAAGAGGGUCAGCCAUGCUCCACUCCUGCUCUAUCAGCCCACCUCUGGAAAUGGGCCUGACCCAAACAAAGGAAGGAAGACAAGUGUAACAGUAUGCAUUCAUAAUCUAUUAAUAUUCAUAGAGGUUUGCCUUUUCAUGCUAAUAGGCUUUUAAUGAUUUUGCAUAGGAGAAAAAAUGCCCUGUUUAAGGAAAGAGGGGACAACUAAAAAGUUAAAAUAUAGGGAAAAUAAUGUAAUGUAACUGUGUAGCAUGCCAUUGAAAUUUAUAAUGUAACUUGCACUGCCUCAGUUAUGAAAUGCUCUUACCCUUAUUCUGUUCAGUACAGUUUAGCACUCAACUGCUAAUAACUGCUCCUCUUUAACAUGCUCACUAACAGCACUAUUUUGCAGCCCAUUUUCAGUGCACACCUCAAUUUAGAAGUGGACUCUGCUGCUGGCUGCCAGCUGAUUUCCCUUCAGCAUACAGGCAGUGCUAAACUUCACUAAGGCUGGCUUUAUGUGGAGCUGUAGGGAUGAGGAGACAUGUAUGUGUGUGUUUUGGCUUCACUACAGCAGCAGCAAACAUGAAACACCAAAAAUCAGGAGUGCAACAGAUAAAUAAAUGAAUAUAGAAGAAAACUAUCCA
This 1015-nucleotide long non-coding RNA is filed under the name Chrysolophus pictus (golden pheasant). Its description in RNAcentral is "lncRNA (ENSCPIG00010014450.1)". Lineage: Eukaryota; Metazoa; Chordata; Aves; Galliformes; Phasianidae. The record is from RNAcentral.